Long non-coding RNA from Siniperca chuatsi (mandarin fish), 559 nucleotides. RefSeq lists it as uncharacterized. NCBI's taxonomy places the organism in Eukaryota, Metazoa, Chordata, Actinopteri, Centrarchiformes, Sinipercidae. The record is from RefSeq and is a predicted model, not a curated record. The transcript is spliced from 3 exons.
ACCUCUCUGUCAGACACUCAGCUGUGCAGGAGUAGGCGGCUGGUGAGAGGUGUGUGUAUGUAUCAUAUGUGUGUGUAUGCCGCAUGUACCAUGAGUCUGGGGACCAGUGGGGGGGCUGACAUCUGUCGAGAAGCAGGUUGGAGGGGUCCCUCGCUCUCUCUCUUCUACUCCUCAUUUUCCACAGUCACUCACACACUCGCUCCUCUCUGCGCCACUCAAGGUCAUUGCAACACUGCGAAAGUUUGGAAGCUACAUGAUAGCAGGAGCUCAAGGUCUUCCAGACAGCUUCAUAAUGGCUGGCACCUCCUCAACACUGGCUCUAAUUGAAAGAUGAAUGAGUUUAUUUGGGCUUAAUCCAUCACCCUGUCACCUGAAGAGAGGGAGAAAGUCCUAGAAGGAGAGGAGAGGAGAGAAGGGUAGCAACGAGGACAGAGGAUGAGAAGAGACAGGAUCAAGGGAAGAACAAGAUCACAGAGACACACAAAAGCAGAUACGAGGCGUACCUCAUAAACAACAUCCUUCAUUUGUCAUGUGACCAUAAAUGGCCCCUGACACCUGG